GAACCUUGGUCUGAAUUCAAAACCUUGAUCUGAACCCUUCAGUCAUAUGCUGUAGAAACUUCCAACCUUCACCUAUCAAUUUGUAAUAAUUAACAUCUGUGGAUAUUUCAGCACCAGCCAGGCUCCGUGACUCCUGCAGGAUUCUUACCCAUUUUCAUCACUUUUAUCACCCACUGUUUUGAAAAACAAAACAAACUCUCCCUCCAAGGGGCUCCAGAGAACACACCAUCAU
RNAcentral lists this long non-coding RNA (232 nucleotides) under Mustela putorius furo (domestic ferret). RNAcentral describes it as "lncRNA (ENSMPUG00000030111.1)". The record is from RNAcentral. Lineage: Eukaryota; Metazoa; Chordata; Mammalia; Carnivora; Mustelidae.